CAUAGGUUAAUGAGGCGAACCGGGGGAACUGAAACAUCUAAGUACCCCGAGGAAAAGAAAUCAACCGAGAUUCCCCCAGUAGCGGCGAGCGAACGGGGAGGAGCCCAGAGCCUGAAUCAGUGUGUGUGUUAGUGGAAGCGUCUGGAAAGGCGCGCGAUACAGGGUGACAGCCCCGUACACAAAAAUGCACAUGCUGUGAGCUCGAUGAGUAGGGCGGGACACGUGGUAUCCUGUCUGAAUAUGGGGGGACCAUCCUCCAAGGCUAAAUACUCCUGACUGACCGAUAGUGAACCAGUACCGUGAGGGAAAGGCGAAAAGAACCCCGGCGAGGGGAGUGAAAAAGAACCUGAAACCGUGUACGUACAAGCAGUGGGAGCCCUGAUUUAUCAGGGUGACUGCGUACCUUUUGUAUAAUGGGUCAGCGACUUAUAUUCUGUAGCAAGGUUAACCGAAUAGGGGAGCCGAAGGGAAACCGAGUCUUAACUGGGCGUUAAGUUGCAGGGUAUAGACCCGAAACCCGGUGAUCUAGCCAUGGGCAGGUUGAAGGUUGGGUAACACUAACUGGAGGACCGAACCGACUAAUGUUGAAAAAUUAGCGGAUGACUUGUGGCUGGGGGUGAAAGGCCAAUCAAACCGGGAGAUAGCUGGUUCUCCCCGAAAGCUAUUUAGGUAGCGCCUCGUGAAUUCAUCUCCGGGGGUAGAGCACUGUUUCGGCAAGGGGGUCAUCCCGACUUACCAACCCGAUGCAAACUGCGAAUACCGGAGAAUGUUAUCACGGGAGACACACGGCGGGUGCUAACGUCCGUCGUGAAGAGGGAAACAACCCAGACCGCCAGCUAAGGUCCCAAAGUCAUGGUUAAGUGGGAAACGAUGUGGGAAGGCCCAGACAGCCAGGAUGUUGGCUUAGAAGCAGCCAUCAUUUAAAGAAAGCGUAAUAGCUCACUGGUCGAGUCGGCCUGCGCGGAAGAUGUAACGGGGCUAAACCAUG
Molecule: ribosomal RNA, 988 nt
Filed under: Escherichia coli
Lineage: Bacteria; Pseudomonadati; Pseudomonadota; Gammaproteobacteria; Enterobacterales; Enterobacteriaceae
Description: partial 23S ribosomal RNA
Rfam family: Bacterial large subunit ribosomal RNA
Source: RNAcentral